CCUUCGAUAGCUCAGUUGGUACAGCGGUGGACUGUAGCAAGAGUAGCUUUUGAGGCAAGGGAGCAAUAUGAUUAAUUGAAUGAAUUUACCCCAAAACAAUGACGGAUCAUGUUGCAAAAUUGCUCAAAGGCAAAGAGUUAUCCAUAGGUCACUGGUUCAAAUCCGGUUCGAAGGA
This 175-nucleotide transfer RNA is filed under the name Anopheles sinensis. RNAcentral describes it as "tRNA tRNA-Tyr". It matches the Rfam family "tRNA". Rfam says of the family: Transfer RNA (tRNA) molecules are approximately 80 nucleotides in length. Their secondary structure includes four short double-helical elements and three loops (D, anti-codon, and T loops). The record is from RNAcentral. Lineage: Eukaryota; Metazoa; Arthropoda; Insecta; Diptera; Culicidae.